AGGAUGAACGCUGGCGGCGUGCCUAAUACAUGCAAGUCGAGCGAACGGGCGAGAAGCUUGCUUCUCUGAUGUUAGCGGCGGACGGGUGAGUAACACGUGGAUAACCUACCUAUAAGACUGGGAUAACUUCGGGAAACCGGAGCUAAUACCGGAUAAUAUUUUGAACCGCAUGGUUCAAAAGUGAAAGACGGUCUUGCUGUCACUUAUAGAUGGAUCCGCGCUGCAUUAGCUAGUUGGUAAGGUAACGGCUUACCAAGGCAACGAUGCAUAGCCGACCUGAGAGGGUGAUCGGCCACACUGGAACUGAGACACGGUCCAGACUCCUACGGGAGGCAGCAGUAGGGAAUCUUCCGCAAUGGGCGAAAGCCUGACGGAGCAACGCCGCGUGAGUGAUGAAGGUCUUCGGAUCGUAAAACUCUGUUAUUAGGGAAGAACAUAUGUGUAAGUAACUGUGCACAUCUUGACGGUACCUAAUCAGAAAGCCACGGCUAACUACGUGCCAGCAGCCGCGGUAAUACGUAGGUGGCAAGCGUUAUCCGGAAUUAUUGGGCGUAAAGCGCGCGUAGGCGGUUUUUUAAGUCUGAUGUGAAAGCCCACGGCUCAACCGUGGAGGGUCAUUGGAAACUGGAAAACUUGAGUGCAGAAGAGGAAAGUGGAAUUCCAUGUGUAGCGGUGAAAUGCGCAGAGAUAUGGAGGAACACCAGUGGCGAAGGCGACUUUCUGGUCUGUAACUGACGCUGAUGUGCGAAAGCGUGGGGAUCAAACAGGAUUAGAUACCCUGGUAGUCCACGCCGUAAACGAUGAGUGCUAAGUGUUAGGGGGUUUCCGCCCCUUAGUGCUGCAGCUAACGCAUUAAGCACUCCGCCUGGGGAGUACGACCGCAAGGUUGAAACUCAAAGGAAUUGACGGGGACCCGCACAAGCGGUGGAGCAUGUGGUUUAAUUCGAAGCAACGCGAAGAACCUUACCAAAUCUUGACAUCCUUUGACAACUCUAGAGAUAGAGCCUUCCCCUUCGGGGGGGCAAAGUGACAGGUGGUGCAUGGUUGUCGUCAGCUCGUGUCGUGAGAUGUUGGGUUAAGUCCCGCAACGAGCGCAACCCUUAAGCUUAGUUGCCAUCAUUAAGUUGGGCACUCUAAGUUGACUGCCGGUGACAAACCGGAGGAAGGUGGGGAUGACGUCAAAUCAUCAUGCCCCUUAUGAUUUGGGCUACACACGUGCUACAAUGGACAAUACAAAGGGCAGCGAAACCGCGAGGUCAAGCAAAUCCCAUAAAGUUGUUCUCAGUUCGGAUUGUAGUCUGCAACUCGACUACAUGAAGCUGGAAUCGCUAGUAAUCGUAGAUCAGCAUGCUACGGUGAAUACGUUCCCGGGUCUUGUACACACCG
This 1386-nucleotide ribosomal RNA is filed under the name uncultured microorganism. RNAcentral's name for it is "bacterial SSU rRNA". It matches the Rfam family "Bacterial small subunit ribosomal RNA", at positions 26 to 1392 of the family's 1533-position model. The record is from RNAcentral.